AUACGUAGGGUGCGAGCGUUGUCCGGAAUUGCUGGGCGUAAAGAGCUCGUAGGUGGUUUGUCGCGUCGUCUGUGAAAUUCCGGGGCUUAACUCCGGGCGUGCAGGCGAUACGGGCAUAACUUGAGUACUGUAGGGGAGACUGGAAUUCCUGGUGUAGCGGUGAAAUGCGCAGAUAUCAGGAGGAACACCGGUGGCGAAGGCGGGUCUCUGGGCAGUAACUGACGCUGAGGAGCGAAAGCAUGGGUAGCGAACAGGAUUAGAUACCCUGGUAGUCCAUGCCGUAAACGGUGGGCGCUAGGUGUAGGGGUCUUCCACGACUUCUGUGCCGUAGCUAACGCAUUAAGCGCCCCGCCUGGGGAGUACGGCCGCAAGGCUAAAACUCAAAUGAAUUGACGGGG
RNAcentral lists this ribosomal RNA (398 nucleotides) under uncultured bacterium. Its description in RNAcentral is "partial 16S ribosomal RNA". It matches the Rfam family "Bacterial small subunit ribosomal RNA", at positions 523 to 918 of the family's 1533-position model. The record is from RNAcentral.